RNAcentral lists this ribosomal RNA (137 nucleotides) under uncultured soil bacterium. RNAcentral's name for it is "partial 16S ribosomal RNA". It matches the Rfam family "Bacterial small subunit ribosomal RNA", at positions 352 to 507 of the family's 1533-position model. The record is from RNAcentral.
CCGCGGUAAUAUUGGACAAUGGGCGAAAGCCUGAUCCAGCAAUGCCGCGUGAGUGAUGAAGGCCUUAGGGUUGUAAAGCUCUUUUACCCGGGAUGAUAAUGACAGUACCGGGAGAAUAAGCCCCGGCUAACUCCGUG